RNAcentral lists this non-coding RNA (20 nucleotides) under Arabidopsis thaliana (thale cress). The record is from RNAcentral. Lineage: Eukaryota; Viridiplantae; Streptophyta; Magnoliopsida; Brassicales; Brassicaceae.
UGUAAUGCAGAAAUGAGGUC